RNAcentral lists this ribosomal RNA (253 nucleotides) under uncultured bacterium. Its description in RNAcentral is "partial 16S ribosomal RNA". It matches the Rfam family "Bacterial small subunit ribosomal RNA", at positions 524 to 776 of the family's 1533-position model. The record is from RNAcentral.
UACGGGGGGAGCAAGCGUUGUUCGGAUUCAUUGGGCGUAAAGGGCGCGUAGGCGGCUUGGCAAGUCCGUCAUGAAAUGUACCGGUUCAACCGGGGCACUGCGUCGGAAACUGCCUGGCUUGAGGUCGAGGGAGGAGAGUGGAAUUCCUGGUGUAGCGGUGAAAUGCGUAGAUAUCAGGAGGAACACCGGUGGCGAAGGCGGCAUCCUGGACCGGCAUUGACGCUGAGGCGCGAAAGCCAGGGGAGCAAACGGG